RNAcentral lists this ribosomal RNA (460 nucleotides) under uncultured bacterium. Its description in RNAcentral is "partial 16S ribosomal RNA". It matches the Rfam family "Bacterial small subunit ribosomal RNA", at positions 338 to 795 of the family's 1533-position model. The record is from RNAcentral.
CCUACGUGGGGCAGCAGUGAGGAAUAUUGGUCAAUGGGCGCGAGCCUGAACCAGCCAAGUAGCGUGAAGGAUGACUGCCCUACGGGUUGUAAACUUCUUUUAUAAAGGAAUAAAGUGAGGCACGUGUGCCUUUUUGUAUGUACUUUAUGAAUAAGGAUCGGCUAACUCCGUGCCAGCAGCCGCGGUAAUACGGAGGAUCCGAGCGUUAUCCGGAUUUAUUGGGUUUAAAGGGAGCGUAGAUGGGUUGUUAAGUCAGUUGUGAAAGUUUGCGGCUCAACCGUAAAAUUGCAAUUGAUACUGGCAGUCUUGAGUACAGUUGAGGUAGGCGGAAUUCGUGGUGUAGCGGUGAAAUGCUUAGAUAUCACGAAGAACUCCGAUGGCGAAGGCAGCUUACUAAACUGCCACUGACAUUGAUGCUCGAAAGUGUGGGUAUCAAACAGGAUUAGAUACCCCAGUAGUC